Molecule: ribosomal RNA, 398 nt
Filed under: uncultured bacterium
Lineage: Bacteria
Description: partial 16S ribosomal RNA
Rfam family: Bacterial small subunit ribosomal RNA
Source: RNAcentral
AUACGUAGGGUGCGAGCGUUGUCCGGAAUUACUGGGCGUAAAGAGCUCGUAGGUGGUUUGUCGCGUCGUCUGUGAAAUUCCGGGGCUUAACUCCGGGCGUGCAGGCGAUACGGGCAUAACUUGAGUACUGUAGGGGAGACUGGAAUUCCUGGUGUAGCGGUGAAAUGCGCAAAUAUCAGGAGGAACACCGGUGGAGAAGGCGUGUCUCUGGGCAGUAACUGACGCUGAGGAGCGAAAGCAUGGGUAGCGAACAGGUUUAGAUCCCCUGGGAGUCCAUGCCGUAAACGGUGGGCACUAUGUUUAGGGGUCUUCCCCGACUUGUUUACCCUAGCUAACGCAUUAAGCGCCCCGCCUGGGGAGUACGGCCGCAAGGCUAAAACUCAAAUGAAAUGACGGGG